Molecule: long non-coding RNA, 7727 nt
Filed under: Medicago truncatula (barrel medic)
Lineage: Eukaryota; Viridiplantae; Streptophyta; Magnoliopsida; Fabales; Fabaceae
Description: long non-coding RNA (MTRU_LNC000274)
Source: RNAcentral
UUCACGUAUAGGUGGUCACACAAGCUGCUUACUAGCAGAUUCUUUAUUUAUAUAUUGUAGAUAAUUAUCAUAAGCUCCAUGCAUGCAUUAGUUAUCAUAUAGCCUGCAACUUGUCUGAUGCACUGCUUGCAGUUGUUUUCAAGUCUGAAGUGGUCAAUGACCAUGAAUGGAUGUCGUGUGCAAAACCAGUUAUUGAAGCACCAGAUAGACCAAACCUAACCUUGUUAGGGAGCACUGUUUUCAAAUCAACUAUUUUCAAAUCAACGAUUUUUUAAGGAUGAGUUAGACCCAAUUUAAACAAAAGAUUUUAGUCCCCGUGAGCUUAACUUAACCCAGUUGAUACGAACAUUGCAUAAUUAUGCAGGGGUUCGAACCCUUGACACCUCACUUCUCCACAUUUAAAAUGUGUGAGCUCCAGCUACUAGACUAGACCAAAAACAAAAAACAGAAGAUUUUAUAUUUUAUAUUUGCAUUUUGUGCCAAGUUGCCAAGACGAGGAAAUGGAGAUAAAACUAAGCAAGAAUCAAGGCCACUAAGACACAUGCCACAAAUUAGAAUAUUGAGAUUUUGGUAGGCAAUCUAAUAUAUUUUUGUACUUAAUAUAAUAUAUUUUGGUACUCAAUUGAUAUAUUUAAUUACUAGAUCUAAUAGGUGCAUUACUUGUUUCCAAAGUUUCUCACUUAUUAGUUGUAAACUAUCUCUAUAAAUAGAGAACUCACACAGUCAUUCUACACACCGAAAGUUACAGUUGAUGCUUCCUGUGCUUUUCUUCUCUUCUCCCUCUUUUGACUUGUGUUGACGAGUCUUUCUUCUUUUUCUACUCCUUUCUGUCCCUUCGGAAUUAAAAGUGUUCUUCAGACCAUAAUCCCUCUUCAGUUUAAUAUCCUUUUAGAGAAGAGAAAGCGGUAGAGUCCUUCGUCGAUCAAUCCAAAGGUAAGGGUGAGACUAACUUUGCAAUUCUAUUAAGUAUGUAAAUCAAUGGUUAGGUUUAACAUGAUGUAGGAUGAGUUUUUGAGGAAUUGAAAAGUAGGUUAAAAUUGUAGAAUUAAUGAAUAAACGGUGGAAACUUGUUAAAAAGAUGUAGAAACUGUCCUUAGACCUUAGAUAAUGAUUAAGAUGAUUUGAUGAUAUUUAUAAUGUUAUAUAUUUAGAUAUAUAUUGCAUGAAUUAUGUUUGAUGAUUGAGAUGUUGAUGACGUGUAUUUGUAAUUGUUAUAUAUGAUGAUUAUCAUUAUUGAUUGAUGCUAAUUUGUUGUUGUGAUGAAUAUGAUUUACUUUAAUGAUAUGAUUAAUGAGAGAAUAUUAUAUACUGUGAUUUAAUUAUUAAAUGCAUUGCUCGAAAUAUAUUAUUGAAUGAUCAAGAUGUUGUUGAAAUGAAUUGUUAUUAAGCUUGAUGUGAUUUGAUUAUGCUGCAAUUGUUAUUUAACUAAGUUGCAUGAGUAUGAAUAAGUUGAUGAUGAACUCCAAAUUAUUGGAUGUAUAAGUGAUAAGUUGAUUAAGGUGUCUUGUUGGUAGAGUCCAUGCAUUAGCAUUCAUUGAGCUUUGUCCUCCGCACGAUUAGGAGCUUUGUCCUCCGCACGAUAAAAGUAUAUUAAUACUUAUGAUGACGAUUGAUACCACAUGCAUAUAAGUGUCUAAGUUGCAUUGUCGCAUUUGUCGAGUCAAAGUCGUUGUUGAUGAAUUUUCAUCCAUGAGUUGUUAAGUUGAUGAAUUAUCAUCUAUGAGUUGUCGAGUUGUCUUCUACCCAUGUGUUGUUAAAGAAGUACCUAUGAAGAUUAUACGAUGUUUAUGAUGUGAAUUAUAUGAUACUGAUUAUAAUGUUAUGAUGUUGUUUAAGAUAUUGAUUAUGAUAUUGUUAUGUUGCUAUGUUGUUUAAGAUAUUGAUUAUGAUAUUGUUAUGUUGUUAUGAUGUUGUAUAUAAUUGUUACUAUUAAGUGAUGAAUAUGUUGUACUAUAUAUGAUUAAUUAUUAUUAAGUGAAUAUUAUGUUAUGUUGUUGUAAGAUGAUGCGUAUGUUGUGAUGUAUAUAAUUGUUAUAUUAAGUUAUGAAUAUGUUGUACGAUAUAUGAUUAAUUAUUAUUAAGUGAAUAUUAUGUUAUGUUGUUGUUAUAUUAUUAUAAAAUGAUGAAUAUGUUGUUGUUGUUAUAUUAUUAUAAAAUGAUGAAUAUGUUGUUAUUUUUAUAUUAUUAUAAGAAGAUGUUUAUGUUAUGAUGUAUAUAAUUAUUAUUAUUAUUAAGUGAUGAUUAUAUUGUGUAGUUUAAGUUAUUAGUGAUGGUGAUUACUGUUGGAAUAAGCCCUAAUAGCCAAUCUAUAUUGAUUGGGUUUGGCUUUGUAUCAUGAUAUUGAUAUAAAUAUAUAUUGUGAAUAUAUAAUAACAAGGCAUUUCUUUAUUGAUUUUGUUUUGUUUCAAAAUAAUAAAGUCCCUAGAAUAGUUAGUCUGUUUAAUGGAACAUUAAGUAUAACUUAAUUGUGAGACCCCAUUAAACAUAAGGAAACUAUUCUCAAAGUAUCUGUAGUCAAGCUUUGUUGAGAAGUGGGAUAUCAUUAAAGCAUAGAGACUACAGACGAUUAUGUAGGUAGACUGAUGAUCACAUCUCACAGAUCAUGGAUAAAGAGUUAUCAAGUCUUCACAUAGAUAUAAAUAUUAGGAGUAAUAUUUAUAUUGGAUUGAUCCGCCAUGAGAAUACUACAUAGUAAAAGUUAUGAAAAGUGUCAUAAGAUAUUCUCAUAGUGAUAGUGGUGUAUUCCACCCUUCGACCUGAAACCACUAUGUACCCUAGAUGUUGGAGUCGAGUGCUUUGUCACCAUUCAAACGUUGUCCGUAACAGGAUGACUAUAAAGUUGGUUGAUGGGUACUCCAUGAAUCAUGCUGAGGGACAUGAGUGACCUAGAUGGAAUUUGCCCCUCCUACAUAACAGGAGAAAUGUCUACGGGCCCAAUAUUGAACUAGACAAGGAUGACACGGUCUAUGCCUUGUGUUCAAUAUAGACAUGAGGGCAAAAGGAUAAUUAUACACAUGAUCAUUAUCACAGAAAGGUUUCGUCAUAUUACAUGACAUUCUCGUCACUUGGGUAGCAGUGAUGUGUUGCUAGAUACCGCUCACUGUUUAUAAUAUUAAAUAUGUGAUUUAAUAUUAUUGCCAACGUUACGGGAACCUAUAGGGUCACACACAAAGGACAGAUAGAUGAGAGAAAUAAAUAAGUAAGACUUAUUUAUAAAAUAAUAAGUGAGACUUAUUUAUAAAAUAAUAACUGAGACUCAUUAUUAAUUAAAUAAUUAAAUAUGAUUUUAUUAUUUAAUUUACCAAAAAUAGAGAAACCCUAGCCGCCGCUCUCUAAACCUUGUUCUCUCUGAAUCUCCGUUGGAAUUGGCUAGCACCGAUCAUCGGAGAAGUUCUGUUCGUGUGGACUGAGUAGAGGCAUCGCUGCUUUGCUUUGCUCGUGAUCAGAAAUAUUUCUUCUACAAAGGUUCUGCUCUUCAAGAGGUAAACACAUGAAUCUUAAAGUGUUUAAGUUUCUAUUUGAUUUGUGAUUAAUGAUUUAAUCAAGAUCCGUUUCAAUGGGAUUUCUUCCGCAAAGAGGAUUAAAUUUUUGAAAAACCCCUCUUAAAAUCCCUUCAAUUACAUGAUGUUAUCUAGGAGUUGUUAAAUGUACUUGAUGAUGGUUAUGUUAAGUUGAUAAGUUGUCUUCUAUUCAUGAGAUGCUUGGUGGAGAAAUGUUAUUACGAAUUAAGAUGUUGUUAUGUCGUAUAUGAAUUAAGAUUAAGAUGUUGUUAUGUCGUAUAUGAAUUAAGAUUAAGAUGUUGUUAUGUUGAAUAUGAACUAUGAGUAUGAUGUGAUGAUCUAUGUUGUUAUGGUUUGGGUAAUACGUGUUAUAUAUGAUGAUGUUAUAAUGUGAUGAAUAUGAAGUAAAUGAUAAUAAGAAGUUGGUUGGACUAUUAAGAAUUAUACAUGAAGAAUUAUUAUUACUAAUAGAUGAAGUUAUUUGUGUUGUUAAAUAUAAUUAUUGAAUUAUAUGCUUGAUAUUAUUGUUUUGUGAAAUCUCACCCCUUUUGCUUGGAAAUGUUGCUCCUCGUAUGAGUAACUUGCAGGUGAUCGAGUUUAAGUUGCUGUUAGAUUGCUGUUGUGUGUGGAUUAGCUCUCAUGUGUGUCUUUAGGUGCUCUGAUACGUAACGGGAUGAGAAUUUUAUUGUUGUCUUUCUAUUCCUUACGUAUUGUUUUAAGAAGAAUUAUGACUAUGGUUUUAGAUUUGAUUAUAUGAGAAAUUUAUGAAGAGGCCUUCGUGCCAAAGACUGUUUAGUUAUUGAAUAAAUUCCGCUGCGAAGUAUUAAAGAUUUUGUUAUUGAAUUUUAAAGGAUAAAUAGUUAUUUAUUCAGUUUAUGAUUUUAAGAAAAGAACUGUAGCAUUCCGUUUACGUGAAUAACUUUGAUUAUUAAAUGGAAUUUUUAUGUUGGGAAAACAGGGUGUUACAAUGAGGGCUUGAUGCCCUGGUUGGUACCACAUGCAUGAUUAAGAAGUUGAAGUUGCAUUGUCGAGUCGAAGUCGUUGAUGUCGCAUCGUCGUUGUCAUUUUUCAAUGAGUUAUUAAUGAAUUACUAUAUGAAGAAUUAUUACUAUUAAUUGAUGAUGUUUAAGUUGUUAAAUGCAUUUGAUGAAUUCUAUGCUUAUUAUUAUUGAAUGUGAAAGCUCACUCCUUCUGUUUGAAUGUUGCCUCGACAUGGGUAACAUGCAGAUUAAUCAAGGAUAGCUGUUGAAGUGAGUUGACUCUCUCAUGUGUCGUCUUAGGGUCGCUCUGAUACGUAACAGGAUGGAGAUCUUGUUUGUUUUCCAUGUGUUACGUAUUUAUUAUGAUUUUAUGUUGAAGAGUUGUCUAAAUUGAAUUUUAAUAAGUUGUUUAAGUUGAGACCAUUGUGCCAACACAAUGAUGAAUUUAAAUGUUUUCCGCUGCAUUAAAAUUUAAAUUGAUCACAUGAGAUGAUUGAAAUAAAUAGUCAUUUUACUAUGUUUAUACUUGAAAGAAGUACAGCAUCCUGUUUUAGUUGUUUACUCUGAUUCAUGCAAAAAAUUUCAAGUUGGAAAAACGGGGUGUUACAAAUACUAUUGAAGGCUAGUGAAGUAUCAGAAUAGUUCAGUUGGCAGAGACUAUAAAUUGUAAUAUGCAGAGGUCGAGAUUCGAACUCCGAACACCUUACUUAUUCACCUUAAAAGGUGAAUUCUAGCUAUUAAACUACUUGAACAAAAAAAAGUUUGUGUGUGCAAGCGAUAUUGUUAAGAUUAAAAAAAAAAAACAGCGAACAAAAUAAAUUGACUAAAAUUAUGACAAAAAUUCGGCUUAAGUAUGGAUACGAACGAAUGAAAAGAUAAUAGUUUGGUGUGCCUAAAUUAUGACAGAAACUAUGAACUAAAUUAUAUUAAAAAGAAAAAAUAACAUUGUUCAACUUUUGCCAAAUAAAAAAUAAAAAAUAAAGAUAUAAUAUGUCAUAGGAAAACUCCGACUUUUGCCAAAUACUUACCAUUUAUAUGGGCCUAAUAGUUAUUUUGAAAUUAAACAACCAAUUUAUUAUUACAUAAAUAUAGAAAAACAGUUUAUUAUCCUCUCUUAUGUCAUAAAUAUAGGAAAACAAUUUGUCUCCUCUCUUAUUUGAUAGAAUAUAAUAAAACAGUCUAUUAUUAUCUCUUAAUCUCUUAAUCUAACUAAUUUACAUAUAAAAUAAAAUGAAAAAUAUUUAUCUGCUACUCCUAAAAAAAAUCAAUGUUCAAUAAAAUUUUAUAAUUAAUCUCGGUAAAACUCCUAAUCGUGUUAGUUACAUGGGUCUGAUAGUUAUUUUACAAAUAAAAAAGCAAUUUGUUAGGGCAUAAACUAUUAAAAGACCCACUUAUUUCCACAUGUCGCGUAACAUUGUGGUAAUUAUAUAAAAAUAUUAUAUCGGUAAUAUUGUAAAAUGUUUAAAGACGACAAAUAAAAAUCAUUUCAUUAAUGUAAUGUUUAUAUUAAAUAGUUUUUUCUUUUAUAUGCACAAAUCCGUUAAUAUUUGCAUCACACUCGUUGCAUACAUUAUUUGCUUAUAUCUGUGAAAACAUUUUUUUGAUGGGCGGAUGAAAAAUUUUAUGAUACUGAUAUGAGAAAGUCAAUAUGAUAAAGUUUCGAAAACUAAUAACUAUUUUUAAAAUAUAAACAUUAAUGUAGUAUUUCUAUUAAAAAGGAUUAAGAGGAUAAUCAAAUAUGAGAAUAAAUCGUUUUGCUAUAUUUAUAUCAUAAGAGAAGAAAAUAACCCAUCCUCCUAUCAUUUAUGCCAUAUUACAUUGUUUUUAUAUGCUUGGUUUUUUAUUUGCAAAAUGAUCAUUUGGCCCAUAAAAUUAAGAAGAUUACAAGCUUAACUGAGGUUAAUUAUGAAAUUUUGUUGGAGAUAUAUUUUCCUAUAGUAGUACUAGUAGAUAUAGGAAAAUAGUUUGUACUCCCACUACAAAAAAUUUGACAUAGAAUGACAGCGAAGUUCUGUAGGUAAGGGUGAAAAACUGCAGGUGUAGCCCAUAAAACCUAUUCCAACAGGCGUAUUACUCCACCCUUUUAAUUUUGCAAUACCAACAACAAUAUUUGGCUAUACCAAUGGCAAGUCAUUGUCACAAAAGCAUAUAGCGAUGGUAAUUCAUGAAAGUGGUGAGAUGAUAACUCUCUUACUUGAAAUGCUAACGAGUUACAUGUUUUCUUAGGUGGUUUCAAAGUUAAGGGGCCCCAAAUUUGGAAAAAAAAAAAAGUUUAUUUAUGGACAAAAUCCGUCACUAAAUGGUUAUUGUCCGUAGGUAAAAGACUAAAAUAUAAAAUUUCGUUGUCAAUUAUACAUGGUCCAUAGGUAAAUGUCUAAUGUACCUAUAGGUUGUCAAUUAUACAUAGUCAGUAGUUAAAUGUCUAAUGUACCUAUAGGUAAAGGUAAUGCCUGAAUUGUAACUCGUAUAUUUAAACUGAGCCUCCCAUUUGAUUGGACUGGCCCUAAUUGGAGCCUCUGGUUGCAGUGGUUUAUUAUAUAUUAAGUAGCGGAGGUUUUAUAAAUCUCAAUUUUUAAAAUAACACAUUUGGCCCCCUACUUCACUCUCUUUUGUAAAUGUGGCCUUGGUUGGGUGCCGAAAUCACCGGUUUUUGAAAGUUGGGGAACUAAAUUACAAUUUAGCCAAAUAAUAAAAUAGAAAUGUGGCAUCUGAGUCAUGAAAUUUGUGAAUAUAAUUAUUUCACACUGCAACGACCACAAUUUGCAUCGUAGAUACCGCAAUGAUCACAACCACACACCCAUCACAAAUACAAGUUGUGAUACCAUUUAGCCCAAAAUAUACCAAGACAAAAAAAAAAAAACAUGCAAAAAGCAAAUAAUAACAUAAAAUAAAAAAUUAACAACAAAAUGAAAUUUUAUUGAUGAAAAACAUAGGAAAAUACAAGUGAUAUUGGAUCCAAACGAAAGUAAAAAAGAGCACAAUUGUAGACCAAACAUUAAUUCAGCAGCAUGCAAGAGACAUUAACUCAAACAUGGUUCGCGUAUAGGUCAUACAAACUGCUUACUAGCAGAUUCUUUAUUUAUAUAUUGUAGAUAAUUAUCAUAAGCUCCAUGCAUGCAUUAGUUAUCAUAUAGCCUGCAACUUGUCUGAUGCACUGCUUGCAGUUGUUUUCAAGUCUGAAGUGGUCAAUGACCAUGAAUGGAUGUCGUGUGCAAAACCAGUUAUUGAAGCACCAGAUAGACCAAAC